UUUUCAUCAGACAAUCUGUGUGAGCACUGCAAAGUACGCUUCUUUAAGGUAAGGAGGUGAUCCAACCGCAGGUUCCCCUACGGUUACCUUGUUACGACUUCACCCCAGUCAUGAAUCACAAAGUGGUAAGCGCCCUCCCGAAGGUUAAGCUACCUACUUCUUUUGCAACCCACUCCCAUGGUGUGACGGGCGGUGUGUACAAGGCCCGGGAACGUAUUCACCGUGGCAUUCUGAUCCACGAUUACUAGCGAUUCCGACUUCAUGGAGUCGAGUUGCAGACUCCAAUCCGGACUACGACGCACUUUAUGAGGUCCGCUUGCUCUCGCGAGGUCGCUUCUCUUUGUAUGCGCCAUUGUAGCACGUGUGUAGCCCUGGUCGUAAGGGCCAUGAUGACUUGACGUCAUCCCCACCUUCCUCCAGUUUAUCACUGGCAGUCUCCUUUGAGUUCCCGGCCGGACCGCUGGCAACAAAGGAUAAGGGUUGCGCUCGUUGCGGGACUUAACCCAACAUUUCACAACACGAGCUGACGACAGCCAUGCAGCACCUGUCUCACGGUUCCCGAAGGCACAUUCUCAUCUCUGAAAACUUCCGUGGAUGUCAAGACCAGGUAAGGUUCUUCGCGUUGCAUCGAAUUAAACCACAUGCUCCACCGCUUGUGCGGGCCCCCGUCAAUUCAUUUGAGUUUUAACCUUGCGGCCGUACUCCCCAGGCGGUCUACUUAACGCGUUAGCUCCGGAAGCCACGCCUCAAGGGCACAACCUCCAAGUAGACAUCGUUUACGGCGUGGACUACCAGGGUAUCUAAUCCUGUUUGCUCCCCACGCUUUCGCACCUGAGCGUCAGUCUUUGUCCAGGGGGCCGCCUUCGCCACCGGUAUUCCUCCAGAUCUCUACGCAUUUCACNNNNNNNNNNNNNNNNNNNNCCCUCUACAAGACUCAAGCCUGCCAGUUUCGAAUGCAGUUCCCAGGUUGAGCCCGGGGAUUUCACAUCCGACUUGACAGACCGCCUGCGUGCGCUUUACGCCCAGUAAUUCCGAUUAACGCUUGCACCCUCCGUAUUACCGCGGCUGCUGGCACGGAGUUAGCCGGUGCUUCUUCUGCGGGUAACGUCAAUUGCUGCGGUUAUUAACCACAACACCUUCCUCCCCGCUGAAAGUACUUUACAACCCGAAGGCCUUCUUCAUACACGCGGCAUGGCUGCAUCAGGCUUGCGCCCAUUGUGCAAUAUUCCCCACUGCUGCCUCCCGUAGGAGUCUGGACCGUGUCUCAGUUCCAGUGUGGCUGGUCAUCCUCUCAGACCAGCUAGGGAUCGUCGCCUUGGUGAGCCGUUACCUCACCAACAAGCUAAUCCCAUCUGGGCACAUCUGAUGGCAAGAGGCCCGAAGGUCCCCCUCUUUGGUCUUGCGACGUUAUGCGGUAUUAGCCACCGUUUCCAGUAGUUAUCCCCCUCCAUCAGGCAGUUUCCCAGACAUUACUCACCCGUCCGCCACUCGUCAGCAAAGCAGCAAGCUGCUUCCUGUUACCGUUCGACUUGCAUGUGUUAGGCCUGCCGCCAGCGUUCAAUCUGAGCCAUGAUCAAACUCUUCAAUUUAAAAGUUUGAUGCUCAA
Molecule: ribosomal RNA, 1606 nt
Filed under: Salmonella enterica subsp. enterica serovar Paratyphi A
Lineage: Bacteria; Pseudomonadati; Pseudomonadota; Gammaproteobacteria; Enterobacterales; Enterobacteriaceae
Description: 16S ribosomal RNA
Source: RNAcentral